GUGAGGAAUAUUGGUCAAUGGACGAGAGUCUGAACCAGCCAAGUCGCGUGAAGGAAGACGGUUCUAUGAAUUGUAAACUUCUUUUGUGCAGGAAUAAAGUGGGUUACGUGUAACCUUUUGUAUGUACUGUACGAAUAAGGAUCGGCUAACUCCGUGCCAGCAGCCGCGGUAAUACGGAGGAUCCGAGCGUUAUCCGGAUUUAUUGGGUUUAAAGGGUGCGUAGGUGGAUUGAUAAGUCAGCGGUGAAAGUUUGCAGCUUAACUGUAAAAUUGCCGUUGAAACUGUCGGUCUUGAGUGCAAAUGAGGUAGGCGGAAUGUGUUGUGUAGCGGUGAAAUGCUUAGAUAUAACACAGAACUCCGAUUGCGAAGGCAGCUUACUGGGAUGCAACUGACACUGAUGCACGAAAGCGUGGGUAUCAAACAGGAUUAGAAACCCGGGUAGUCC
Molecule: ribosomal RNA, 445 nt
Filed under: uncultured bacterium
Lineage: Bacteria
Description: partial 16S ribosomal RNA
Rfam family: Bacterial small subunit ribosomal RNA
Source: RNAcentral